This 332-nucleotide unclassified non-coding RNA is filed under the name soil metagenome. RNAcentral describes it as "partial contains 5.8S ribosomal RNA, internal transcribed spacer 2, and large subunit ribosomal RNA". The stretch from base 1 to 120 matches the Rfam family "5.8S ribosomal RNA", at positions 35 to 154 of the family's 154-position model. The record is from RNAcentral.
GAUGAAGAACGUAGCGAAAUGCGAUAAGUAAUGUGAAUUGCAGAAUUCAGUGAAUCAUCGAAUGUUUGAACGCACAUUGCGCCCUUUGGUAUUCCUUAGGGCAUGCCUGUUCGAGCGUCAUUUAAACCUUCAAGCUAAGCUUGGUGUUGGGUGACUGUCCGCUUCACUGCGGACUCGCCUCAAAAUUAUUGGCGGCCGGUACAUUGGCUUCGAGCGCAGCAGAAACGCGAACUCGGGCCCGUCGUAUUGGCUCCCAGAAGCUAUCUUCACAAUUUUGACCUCGGAUCAGGUAGGGAUACCCGCUGAACUUAAGCAUAUCAAUAAGCGGAGGA